Molecule: non-coding RNA, 621 nt
Organism: Solanum lycopersicum (tomato)
Lineage: Eukaryota; Viridiplantae; Streptophyta; Magnoliopsida; Solanales; Solanaceae
Source: RefSeq, a predicted model, not a curated record
GUAUAUAAACAUGACAACAUGUAACCAAGAAUAUCAAAGAAAAAAAAAAAACAAAUUCAAAAUCGUAUCGAAAAAAUUAAUGGAGAUGAAAUAUUUAACGAUGAUAGUAUUGUUUUUUGGAGUAAUGUUGCAAGAAGGCAUGAGUCAAACUAGGGAUUCAUCAUCAUGUAUGAGCAAGUUACUCCCAUGUAUGAAUUAUUUAAAUGAAGCAAAAGGUGAUCCACCACAAAGUUGUUGUAAUCCAUUAAAAGAAGUAAUUAGAAAAAUGCCAGAAUGUUUAUGUCAAAUGGUAAGUAUUAAAGGGAGUAAAGCAGCAGAACAAGCUGGAAUUGAUGUUAAUGAGGCACAAAUGUUACCUGCUAAAUGUGGACAGCCUGUUAAUUAUAUGGGAUGUCUUAAAGGUGCAUCAAAUUCUGCUGGAAAAUCAAUGGGGAUCACUAUAACCAUGAAAGUAUUUUUGGUGGUUGUUUCUAUGAUUUUAUUUCAAUUUUUGUGAUAAUCAUCGUUAUGUUAUUACCUUUUUUUGCAUUAAUUGUUGAAUAUUGAAUUAAUUUACAUUUUAUUUGCUUUGGUGUUAUGUUUAAUAUCUCAAUUGUAUGAUCUAUCGACAUGCUUUCUCUA